CUACGGGUGGCAGCAGUCGAGAAUUUUUCUCAAUGGGGGAAACCCUGAAGGAGCGACGCCGCGUGGGGGAUGAAUGGCUUCGGCCCGUAAACCCCUGUCAUUUGCGAUCAAACCUUACGUUCUAAUAAAGCGUAAGCUGAUAGUAGCGAAAGAGGAAGGGACGGCUAACUCUGUGCCAGCAGCCGCGGUAAUACAGAGGUCCCAAGCGUUGUUCGGAUUCACUGGGCGUAAAGGGUGCGUAGGCGGUCGGGUAAGUCUGACGUGAAAUCUUCAAGCUCAACUUGGAAACUGCGUCGGAUACUAUUCGGCUAGAGGAAUGGAGGGGAGACUGGAAUACUUGGUGUAGCAGUGAAAUGCGUAGAUAUCAAGUGGAACACCAGUGGCGAAGGCGAGUCUCUGGACAUUUCCUGACGCUGAGGCACGAAAGCCAGGGGAGCAAACGGGAUUAGAUACCCCGGUAGUCCUGGCCCUAAACGGUGCACGUUUGCUGUAAGAGGAAUCGACCCCUUUUGUGGCGAAGCUAACGCGUUAAACGUGCCGCCUGGGAAGUACGGCCGCAAGGUUAAAACUCAAAGAAAUUGACGGGGGCCUGCACAAGCGGUGGAGUAUGUGGCUUAAUUCGAUACCACGCGAAGAACCUUACCUGGCCUUGACAUGCACAUAGUUGAAGCCUGAAAGGGUGACGAGGUAGCAAUACCAGUGUGCACAGGUGCUGCAUGGCUGUCGUCAGCUCGUGUCGUGAGAUGUUGGGUUAAGUCCCGCAACGAGCGCAACCCCUGUGUCCUGUUGCCACCCCUUAAUUGGGAGCACUCUGGACAGACUGCCUCGCUUCAACGAGGAGGAAGGUGGGGAUGACGUCAAGUCAGUAUGGCCCUUACGGCCAGGGCUGCACACGUACUACAAUGCCCGGCACAAAGGGACGCAAGACCGUCAGGUGGAGCAAAUCCCAGAAAACCGGGCCCAGUUCAGAUUGUCGUCUGCAACUCGACGGCAUGAAGCUGGAAUCGCUAGUAAUGGCGCAUCAGCUACGGCGCCGUGAAUACGUUCCCAGGCCUUGUACACACCGCCCGUCACAUCAUGAAAGCCGGUUGUACCCGAAGUCGCCCCUUAAAAGGUGCCGAAGGUAUGGCUGGUGAUUGGGAUGAAGUCGAAACAAGGUAGCCGUAGGGGAACCUGCGGCUG
RNAcentral lists this ribosomal RNA (1182 nucleotides) under metagenome. Its description in RNAcentral is "bacterial SSU rRNA". It matches the Rfam family "Bacterial small subunit ribosomal RNA", at positions 339 to 1520 of the family's 1533-position model. The record is from RNAcentral.